RNAcentral lists this ribosomal RNA (513 nucleotides) under Lysinibacillus fusiformis. Its description in RNAcentral is "bacterial SSU rRNA". It matches the Rfam family "Bacterial small subunit ribosomal RNA", at positions 1 to 492 of the family's 1533-position model. Lineage: Bacteria; Bacillati; Bacillota; Bacilli; Caryophanales; Bacillaceae. The record is from RNAcentral.
CUUUUUGGAAAAAGAUUGAUCCUGGCUCAGGACGAACGCUGGCGGCGUGCCUAAUACAUGCAAGUCGAGCGAACAGAAAAGGAGCUUGCUCCUUUGACGUUAGCGGCGGACGGGUGAGUAACACGUGGGCAACCUACCCUAUAGUUUGGGAUAACUCCGGGAAACCGGGGCUAAUACCGAAUAAUCUCUUUUGCUUCAUGGUGAAAGACUGAAAGACGGUUUCGGCUGUCGCUAUAGGAUGGGCCCGCGGCGCAUUAGCUAGUUGGUGAGGUAACGGCUCACCAAGGCGACGAUGCGUAGCCGACCUGAGAGGGUGAUCGGCCACACUGGGACUGAGACACGGCCCAGACUCCUACGGGAGGCAGCAGUAGGGAAUCUUCCACAAUGGGCGAAAGCCUGAUGGAGCAACGCCGCGUGAGUGAAGAAGGUUUUCGGAUCGUAAAACUCUGUUGUAAGGGAAGAACAAGUACAGUAGUAACUGGCUGUACCUUGACGGUACCUUAUUAGAAAGCC